AGCUUCUACAGGUUGAAGACCCUUCCCUAGCUUCUACAUGUUGAAGGCCCUUUCCCUAGCUUCUACAUGUUGAAGGCCCUUUCCCUAGCUUCUACAUGUUGAAGACCCUUUCCCUAGCUUCUACAGGUUGAAGGCCCUUUCCCUAGCUUCUACAUGUUGAAGACCCUUUCCCUAGCUUCUACAUGUUGAAGACCCUUUCCCUAGCUUCUACAUGUUGAAGACCCUUUCCCUAGCUUCUACAUGUUGAAGGCCCUUUCCCUAGCUUCUACAUGUUGAAGGCCCUUUCCCUAGCUUCUACAUGUUGAAGACCCUUUCCCUAGCUUCUACAUGUUGAAGGUCCUUUCCCUAGCUUCUACAUGUUGAAGGCCCUUUCCCUAGCUUCUACAGGUUGAAGACCCUUUCCCUAGCUUCUACAUGUUGAAGACCCUUUCCCUAGUCUCUACAUGUUGAAGGCCCUUUCCCUAGUCUCUACAUGUUGAAGGCCCUUUCCCUAGCUUCUACAUGUUGAAGGCCCUUUCCCUAGCUUCUACAUGUUGAAGGCCCUUUCCCUAGCUUCUACAUGUUGAAGACCCUUUCCCUAGUCUCUACAUGUUGAAGGCCCUUUCCCUAGUCUCUACAUGUUGAAGACCCUUUCCCUAGCUUCUACAUGUUGAAGACCCUUUCCCUAGUCUCUACAUGUUGAAGGCCCUUUCCCUAGCUUCUACAUGUUGAAGGCCCUUUCCCUAGUCUCUACAUGUUGAAGGCCCUUUCCCUAGCUUCUACAUGUUGAAGGCCCUUUCCCUAGCUUCUACAUGUUGAAGGCCCUUUCCCUAGUCUCUACAUGUUGAAGGCCCUUUCCCUAGCUUCUACAUGUUGAAGGCCCUUUCCCUAGCUUCUACAUGUUGAAGGCCCUUUCCCUAGUCUCUACAUGUUGAAGGCCCUUUCCCUAGCUUCUACAUGUUGAAGACCCUUUCCCUAGCUUCUACAUGUUGAAGGCCCUUUCCCUAGCUUCUACAUGUUGAAGACCCUUUCCCUAGUCUCUACAUGUUGAAGACCCUUUCCCUAGUCUCUACAUGUUGAAGGCCCUUUCCCUAGCUUCUACAUGUUGAAGACCCUUUCCCUAGUUUCUACAUGUUGAAGGCCCUUUCC
Oncorhynchus keta (chum salmon) is the source of this 1128-nucleotide long non-coding RNA. RefSeq lists it as uncharacterized. Lineage: Eukaryota; Metazoa; Chordata; Actinopteri; Salmoniformes; Salmonidae. The transcript has 6 exons. The record is from RefSeq and is a predicted model, not a curated record.